Molecule: ribosomal RNA, 292 nt
Filed under: uncultured bacterium
Lineage: Bacteria
Description: partial 16S ribosomal RNA
Rfam family: Bacterial small subunit ribosomal RNA
Source: RNAcentral
GUGUCAGCCGCCGCGGUAAGACGAACCGUGCGAACGUUGUUCGGAAUCACUGGGCUUAAAGGGCGCGUAGGCGGAUCAGCAAGUCCGGGGUGAAAUCCUCCGGCUUAACCGGAGAAGUGCCUUGGAUACUGCUGGUCUCGAGGGAGGUAGGGGUCAUGGGAACUUCUGGUGGAGCGGUGAAAUGCGUUGAUAUCAGAAGGAACGCCGGUGGCGAAAGCGCAUGACUGGAUCUCUUCUGACGCUGAGGCGCGAAAGCUAGGGGAGCGAACGGGAUUAGAUACCCCCGUAGUCC